Molecule: long non-coding RNA, 371 nt
Filed under: Vigna radiata
Lineage: Eukaryota; Viridiplantae; Streptophyta; Magnoliopsida; Fabales; Fabaceae
Description: long non-coding RNA (VRAD_LNC018021)
Source: RNAcentral
GUCUUUUGAACGAAAAUGGAGAAGGAAGUGUGAAAAUAUGAACUUUGGUUGACUGAUAGGUUUCAGGCUUUAAAACCAAUACUAUGGAAUUCCUUUCCUUGCAGUUAACUUUUUUUUUUUUUUUUUAAAUGCAAAAGUGGCGAUCUACUUAUGGGUUUCUGUUUGUCUAAUAAUUAUUUUUAUUUAUUUUGGAUUCAAUUUUUUCACCUGUCAAUGGUAUCUGUUACUUUUCUAAUCAUUAGUUUUUGUUACUCAUGGGACCACUGUUCUUCUGUAACUUUGCUUUACUUUACCAAUUAUGAAAUCAUGGUAGCUUGCAGGUAUUAAAGUUAUGUUGAGUUGUGGUGGUGGUUGUUUACUAAGUGUUUGGA